This 30674-nucleotide long non-coding RNA is filed under the name Triticum aestivum (bread wheat). RNAcentral's name for it is "long non-coding RNA (TAES_LNC002490)". The record is from RNAcentral. Lineage: Eukaryota; Viridiplantae; Streptophyta; Magnoliopsida; Poales; Poaceae.
UGCUAACCUCAAUGCCCUCACCGGUGCUAGGGUUGCUAUCAUCCUAGAGGCGAGCAAUGGUUUUAUGCUCUUUCAGACAAACCAUCCUACAAUGGAUUUCUUGGGAUGGAUGCUUAAUUGGGUUAUGAUGGUACUAAGUAGACAUUCUUCUAUAGGAAAUGGUGAAUGUGUUUAUGCGCAAUAGGAAUCUUCUUCCAGUGAGCAAGAUGUUGAUGCUUCGGUGCAAUCUGAAGGACUUAGUUAGAAGCUAGUUAGACUUACAUUUUAGUUCUAUAUCGGAAUGAAAGCUAGUUACAUUACCACCUGGAAAAUGUUACCAUUUGGAGAUUUUACUAAGCCCCUUCCAGGCAAUAAUAUACAUGUUCAGUGUUAUAGGUCUUGGAACAUGGAAGUUUUUUUUGUAUGUGCCACUUCAUAUUUUCAUUAUAAUCAAAUAUUUUAUUUUCUUUUUGAGAUGUUAUGUAUCUUAUGGGUGAAGGAAGAGGAAACCUUGAUUUAUAAUACCACCCCUCUUAGCAUAUUAUGAUCCAACCAUUAGUAAUUAACAGAAAAUGGGAGCUAUGCGGAGUAACUAACUAAAAGGUAGCACAAGUUCAGAUUUCCACUCAAGCGACAAGCAUCAAUUGCUUUAAUUGCAUAAGAGUAUGAAAAAUAUGAACAACUCAAUAUGAGAUUCAUUUGAAAUCACGGUAAAUCAAUGUUUUAUUAAUAGAUGCCAAUGAUUUAUUGUCAUUAAAUUAAAACCAUAGUAUACCUGCGAGGACAUGGCGGCCACCUAAUUCUCCAUUUCAGUUCCAGUAGCAAGAAACAACAAAUUUAUGAAAUGAAUCUACUUUUGUUACCUUCGUUAGUUUUUAUCCUUGAAUAAAAAGUGAUUUUUUUUGUAAUGAUAUUGCUCAUCUAAUUAAUAAAUUAGACCCUCGGCAGGUUGCAUUAUGCAAUUGUUCUAAUCUUCUCACCGUUGACAGAGCAUGGUGCCCCAAUGUUUGGUUUUUGUAAUUGAUGACAAUGUCAGGACCGGAUUUUCGGGAUAUUAGUUUCCAGAAAAUGGCCCUUGUGCUCACCAGCCCCAGGAUUACUUUUAGCUGAUGAGGCACCAACUUGAUACAGAAAUUCCAAGCAAAAUACAUAAUAUGUAGUACAAGACCAUUCUGGCCUAUGAGUACAACAAAUGGUUUCCAGUGGUUGAUGGCGGAAGCGGUUUGUGGAUCAUCAGCGUCUAUGGGACUCCAAUUCCCACAUGAACAGCUGCCAGGUUAACUCCUAUCUUCGCGAGGCUGCUAUCACCGUUGCUUAGGUUCCGGGGCUGUCAUCGCAACGCUCCUCUCCAAGCAAGAAAUCUGGCCAAGACAAUAGCCAGGGACAAGCCAGUGAGUACUUUUGAAUGUACUCGCAAACAUUAUGAACACGGGUAUGAUAUAACAACCAAUAAUCAUACUCUAAAAUAUUCUAUGCUCACAACGUCCGUCAUAAAAAUAAUAUCCCUGAUACAUGCAAGCAGGUUAUUUAUGUAAAACAUGAAUAUGCAAUCAGAGAGUAAAAAUAAAAUGCACCGAGCGGGUGUCUGAAGCGACGCCUCGAAAGGAUAAUAAUAUAAGGCAUGCCUCAGUCGGGCGUCUGCGCGACACCACAUACAUGGCUUAUAAAGUAAAUAAAUAAUGAGCAUGCCACAGUCGGGCGUCUGAGAGACACCACAUAAAGGGCUUAUAAGGUAAACAAUAAGAAUGCCACAGUCGGGCGUCUGAGCGACACCACAUAAAGGGCUUAUAAGGUAAACAAUAAGAAUGCCACAGUCAGGCGUCUGAGCGACACCACAUAAAGGGCUUAUAAGGUAAACAAUAAGAAUGCCACAGUCGGGCGUCUGAGCGACACCACAUAAAGGGCUUAUAAGAAAACAAUCACAGUGAAUAUCCAGGAGGUAGAACCGUCCCAGAAUAAUCCCAGUAAUAUGGUGGGUAAGUCCAUAAUAGUAAUAAUCCCAAUCAUCAUAGUCAACACAAGUCACAGGUCAUGAUCCAUGUUCUGGUUUAGCAGUUUCUCCUCCGAAGACCGACACUUGACCAAACCCAGACUGUAGUCCUUAACCAUGGACAUGGCUAUUCGAAUAGAUUUAACCUCUGCAAACGGUGUACUCUUUACCCACGAGUAACGGAUUCCUUUAGUCCAUCGGGACUAAUUCCGUCUACGGCCUUUUAAUAGAAAACACACCUGACUUGCACACACCAGCUUAACUUACCAGUGUCUGGAAUCACCCACGACACCUGUCAAGCAAAAACUCUAAGUGGGGAGGCUACAACCUCGCGUAGCAUGGGAUCAAAUUCAUAUCGCACACUCUAAGUGGUGCCCCCCUCUCGGUCCCAUCCGAAAACACCCAUGCCCCCGGACCAGGUGGCCUGCCUACCAGCUGCAGUCGGUAUCUUCCACCAUGGCCUCUCUGUACGGUGUGUGCUAGAAAGGGGUUGACAGACAACUUACUGUACCGUACCCUACCUGCUGUAGGGACAAGUGGUAGUACGAAACAAGUAUGGGGGUUACUGGAACAAGACUCGAUCUAUGGCCGACUCAGGAAGUUUAAGUAUUCCCAGCAUGAUUAGCUUAAUGAAUAUAUUUCAUCCAACAGACAGGAUCACCACUCAUCAUACCCCAUCAUGCCAUACCGGACACACUCGUCUCGACGAGGAACUAGGGACAAGCUCGGGUCUACCCAAGAUAGAGACUUUCCAGUUUUCCUUCUGGUAGGCGCGAAGGGCAUACGAGGAUGAUCACUAUCACAAGCAUGUCCAUUUCCAACAGCAAGGAAAUCCCCAAUAUGCAUUCAUGCAAAUGAUCGCGUCACCACAUAAAAUAACGAGUUCUCCGUAUUAAGGUGGUGUUAUAAUCAUGUCAACUAACACACAAAAAUAUUAUGCCAGGGUUCAGAAUGCUUGCCUUCAAGGGUAUGCAAGUGGGGUGUGCCUUUUGAAAGUUGACUUCUUCUCCAAAAACCUAUUUUUGAAAAUAUUCAAAUUAACACAUACUUUAAAAACUGUACAAAAACGUUGCUUGGAAAAUUUUCAAAUAAAUAUGAAAAUAAACUAGACAAUAUUUGGGAAACAACAGAAAAAGAAUCAAGUCAUUUGGAUUUAUAUCUAAAAAGUUAUAGCCUAUCAAAGUUUAGUCAACUUUCUGUUUUUAAAAUAAAUCUGAAAAAAAGAAAAACGUUUCGAAAAGGGUACACGUCGAAGACGUACUUUGGGAAUAUGCCUCCACUUAAAACACGUGGUGGCGGGGUUGGGUCACUGACAGUGGGUCCAGCGGCCCCACUGGUCAGGUUUGACUAGUCCCCCGCCUUCUUCCUCCUCUGUCCGAGCCGAGGCGGGGGCUCCGGCGAUCGACGCUGGCGAACGGCAGCUCCUCGCGGGGCUCUGAGGGCGAGGAUGGAUCCGCCACUCCCAGGUGGUCCUCCCGGUGGUUGAGAGGGUGGCGGGGACGAAGGGAGUCGCCGGCGGUGAGCCUUGCGGUGGACGGCAGCUUCGGGAGGUUUGGGGGUUUGGGUUAUGGUGCUUCCCGAUCGACGCUGAGAGGGUGGGUGGCUCCGCACGGUUGGGGGGAGAAGGAUGGAAGCACGGGAGGGGUUUGGGGGCCUCGGUCUUGACCGGAUUUCACCGGAGUGUGGCGGCGGCCGAACCUGUCGGGGACGAGGAAGAUGGCCGUCAUUCGCCGAUUGCUGGCUACGGGGGGGCUCUAGGGGGGGUGGCUCGAGGCUGCCUGAGUGCUGGGACGAGCUCGGGGUCCCCUUUUAUAGUGCAACGAGGUCGGUUCCGCGGCGGCAGUGGAUAGGGACGCCGGCGAACCGCUUUUCUGUAGCUAGGGGUGAGGUGGAGAUGCUUGGAGCUGGUCGGCGCACUCCGACGAACUCCACACUGCUCAAGAGGCGAGCUGGCUCUCGUGUGUGGCUCGGGCGGCGCCGUCCAGGGCAGAGGUUGUCGGGGCGGCGGUGGCGACAUGCAGUGGUGAUGCUGUGGUGCGCCAGGAGGGGGGGCCAGGGUGGCUCUACAGCGAGGGAGGGGUCGGGACGCUGGCUGCGAGUGGAAGGGGCCAGAACGGGAGCGGGGGAGGCGGCAGCGGGAGGUGGCGGCUUGGGCGCACACACGUGCAAAACGCGCGCUCUGGGCGCGCCCAGAGCACGCACGUGACGUGCUCGACAAAAUGACAGGGUGACCUAGAGUGCUUGAGCGAGGCUGGCAAAUAACCGGACUAGGUUAGAGUCUGCAAGAAAGUUAGUGGACAAACUGGUUUGUCCAGAGGUGCAAGGUCACAGUGCAAAGGCAAAAAUCAUGUCAAAACUGCCCAUGCACUUAAGGUAUUUGACAAAAUGCCAAUGGCAUCUAGGCAACUCUUGGGGUGGCCAAAUAUUCCAGAUCAAAGUCUAUUUAGAUGUAGGAGAGGAUGGCAAGUUUAGUUGGCCAAAUGUAGAAACUUGUUAGUGUAAGUUUUGCAAAACUCCAGUUCUGGACAGAAGGAAAAGGGUAUAAUAUCAUGUACCAAAAAUGCUCCAAUGAGUCCAACCUCCUGGACUUAAGGGUUUGCUAGGGUGGUCUACAAUCAGGAGAAAGAAUCAAGGGAAAAAGAGCAAGCAAAAACAUGGUUGCAAUACAAAUCACCAAGUUGAACCAGAAUGCAAAUGAGGAUGAUUCACUCAAUUUUUUCAAAGAGCAUCAAUGGGUUCUUGCAUAAAGAUGAAUAAUAUACUCCUAUUAACACCCCAUAAUUUUCGUGGAAGUUUUAAAGAAAUAUUUAAUUAGGUUGUAAUGCAAAAUUGCCCAAUGGACCAGAUUUGAAAAUUUGAUGUAGAGCUCAAAAUAUCGAAAAAAUGAUAUAUAAUUUUGCAUAAAAGUGAUUUAAAAACAUCACAUGACAUCCCCAAAUUUUGGUGGGAUUUUUAAAUGAAUUUAUAAAAGGGUUGCAGUUCAAAUGGGACCCUAAAAUUUAUGAAAAACCCUUUUGGAGGAAUAAAGCUCAGGAAAAAUAAUUAUAUAAAUAAUCCUACUGAUAAAAGAAUUGUUUUAUUUGAGAGGGUAACUAAGUCCAAUAAUGUUUGAAACUUUUUCACUUGGGGUAAAAACCUCAUAAAAAUAAAGAAAAGAAUGGUUCUGAAAUCAACAGGAAAUCUAGAAAAUAAAAGUUUAAGUUUCCUGGCAAAAUUUUAAUAAAUAAAACAUGGUUAAAUUUUUGGGGUGUCACAACACUACCCCCCUUAAGAAAAAUCUCGUCCUCGAGAUUUGUUAAGAGUUGUUUUCGAAAAUAUCAUUCCUGUUAGUUGAAACCAAAAGGUUUACUCAUAGUACAAACCUUGUGUCGUCAAGGUUGGUUUUUGGCAGCUACGUCCGAGGUUAAAAAUGCAAUCUCACAUCGACAUACUCAUGCAUGGCUACUAUUUAAAAUAGGGCGCACAAGCAACAGUAUUUAAUUACGGCGAUACAGGGUCACACAGUUACAAGGCGAGGACAUGCUAAGACUUGGUACUACUCGAGCGACUCUAGUCUACCUCGUUAAUAUCUAAGCGGGCGUGCCUUGCGGACGUCGAGGCUUCACCACGGUUUUCACCGUCGGGAUUAGCUGGAGGGGGUUGAGGGGCUACAGGGUCGGGGUAGCGAUGAUGACCAUUCCGGGGAUUGUUGGCCACAAUCCCGUUGGAAUGUGUUCCCAAAAGGCGACGAAGCACUUCUGGGGCCAUCAAGGUAUUAUGGUCGAUGGCUGGGGCAGACCUCAAGGACUCGAUCGGUUGUCCGAACAGCACGACUGGGCUAUCGGUGCCGGACUCCUCUUCUCCUCUUGCUGGGGCUCGGCGGGUCAGUUCUCCACGAGCUGCGAUCAGAUCAAGGGUGAUUUGAUCGAACAGUCCCUCUAGUACACAUAGCCUACCAGAUGCAAUAAUGCAGGAUCCAUCUCGUGGUCUCUGUUGGCAACUUGGGGUGGUCUACCAUAUCCGACACGGCUGGGGUAGUAGUAGAACGAGCGGCAGUUGACUCUGGGCGACAAGUGCCGGAGUUGAACUAUAGCCUCUCGAGCAGCUAGUUGGAUGGCUUGUGGCUCAAAGGAAGUUGUCCUUCCGGUGAACCUGUAGGGGCGUUCUGGCGAUAGACCCCUACCGUAGACGUGCAUAGUGGCCCAGAAUUGACGGCUCUCACCGCUCAUGGGUCCUUGGUACACAACAUAUUCUGGGGGCUCUUCUAACGCGAAGGCACGGCGGGUGAGGUUUGCUAGCACGGUCACAAAACCUCCAAGGUUGGUUGCCGUGGUCUCAUUGUGAACAAUGGGUCCUGGCAUUUUAGCUUGGUUUGGGCAGAGGUUGUGCUGUGCUAGGUUGGGGCUAGCGUGCCCUUUUUAUAAAAAAAAGAACGGAGUCUUCCUUCGCACGCUUGCGAAUGAGAUAAUUUUGGUGUCGGUCACUGGCGCGUGAUCGACAGGCUAGGCUGAUAGGUUGGGCACCGACUGCCAAAAAGGUGUCGAUCACUGUGUGGCUAUCUUACACGAGAAGCUUGGCCGGAGUUAGGUUAAGGCCUGGUGGGUUGGUUUACCUAGGUUUUUUUUUACCUGUCUAAGAUAGGAUUAGCCAAUGGUCAGCCUGGCUCUGAUACCAAGUUUGUCAGGACCGGAUUUUCGGGAUAUUAGUUUCCAGAAAAUGGCCCUUGUGCUCACCAGCCCCAGGAUUACUGUUAGCUGAUGAGGCAACAACUUGAUAUAGAAAUUCCAAGCAAAAUACAUAAUAUGUAGUACAAGACCUUUCUGGCCUAUGAGUACAACAAAUGGUUUCUAGUGGUUGAUGGCGGAAGCGGUUUGUGGAUCAUCAGCGUCUAUGGGACUCCAAUUCCCACAGGAAUAGCUGACCUGGUUAACUCCUAUCUUCGUGAGGCUGCUAUCACCGUUGCUUAGGUUCCGGGGCUGUCAUCGCAACGCUCCUCUCCAAGCAAGAAAUCUGGCCAAGACAAUAGCCAGGGACAAGCCAGUGAGUACUUUUGAAUGUACUCGCAAACAUUAUGAACAUGGGUAUGAUAUAACAACCAAUAAUCAUACUCUAAAAUAUUCUAUGCUCACAACGUCCGUCAUAAAAAUAAUAUCCAUGAUACAUGCAAGCAGGUUAUUUACGUAAAACAUGAAUAUGCAAUCAGAGAGUAAAAAUAAAAUGCACCGAGCGGGUGUCUGAAGCGACGCCUUGAAAGUAUAAUAAUAUAAGGCAUGCCUCAGUCGGGCGUCUGCGCGACACCACAUACAUGGCUUAUAAAGUAAAUAAAUAAUGAGCAUGCCACAGUCGGGCGUCUGAGCGACACCACAUAAAGGGCUUAUAAGGUAAACAGUAAGAAUGCCACAGUCGGGCGUCUGAGCGACACCACAUAAAGGGCUUAUAAGGUAAACAAUAAGAAUGCCACAGUCGGGCGUCUGAGCGACACCACAUAAAGGGCUUAUAAGGUAAACAAUAAGAAUGCCACAGUCGGGCGUCUGAGCGACACCACAUAAAGGGCUUAUAAGAAAACAAUCACAGUGAAUAUCCAGGAGGUAGAACCAUCCCAGGGAUACUCAAUAAUCCCAGUAAUAUGGUGGGUUAGUCCAUAAUAAUAAUAAUCACAAUCAUCAUAAUCAACACAAGUCACAGGUCAUGAUCCAUGUUCUGGUUUAGCAGUUUCUCCUCCGAAGACCGACACUAAGACCGACACUUGACCCAACCCAUACUGUAGUCCUUAACCAUGGACACGGCUAUUCGAAUAGAUUUAACCUCUGCAGAGGGUGUACUCUUUACCCACGAGUAACGGAUUCCUUAAGUCCAUCGGGACUAAUUUCGUCUACGGUCUUUUAAUUGAAAACACACCUGACUUGCACGCAACAGCUUAACUUACCGGUGUCUGGAAUCACCCACGAAACCUGUCAAGCAAAAACUCUAAAUGUGGAGGCUACAACCUCACAUAGCAUGGGAUCAAAUUUAUAUCACGCGCUCUAAGGGGUGCCCCCCCCUCUCGGUCCCAGCCGGAAACACCCAUGCCCCCGGACCAGGUGGCCUGCCUACCGGCUACACUCGGUAUCUUCGACCAUGGCCUCUCUGUACGGUGUGUGCUAGAAAGGGGUUGACAACUUACUAAACCAUACCCUACCUACUGUAGGGACAAGUGGUAGUACGAAACAAGUAUGGGGGUUACUGGAACAAGACUCGAUCUAUGGCCGACUCAGGAGGUUUAAGUAUUCCCUGCAUGAUUAGCUUAACGAAUAUAUUUCAUCCAACAGACAGGAUCACCACUCAUCAUACCCCAUCAUGCCGUACCGGACACACUCGUCUCGAAGAGGAACUACGGACAAGCUCGGGUCUACCCAAGACAGAGACUUUCCCGUUUUCCUUUCGGUAGGCGCGAAGGGCAUACGAGGAUGAUCACUAUCACAAGCAUGUCCAUUUCCAACAGCAAGGAAAUCCCCAAUAUGCAUUCAUGCAAAUGAUCGCGUCACCACAUAAAAUAAUGAGUUCUCCGUAUUAAGGUGGUGUUAUAAUCAUGUCAACCAACACACAAAAAUAUUAUGCCAGGGUUCAGAAUGCUUACCUUCAAGGGUAUGCAAGUGGGGUGUGCCUUUUGAAAGUUGACUUCUUCUUCCAAAACCUAUUUUCGAAAAUAUUCAAAUUAGCACAUACUUUAAAAACAGUACAAAAAAGUUGCUUGGAAAAUUUUCAAAUAAAUAUGAAAAUAAACUAGACAAUAUUUGGGAAACAACAGAAAAAGAAUCAAGUCAUUUGGAUUUAUAUCUAAAAAGUUAUAGCCUGUCAAACUUUAGUCAACUUUCUGUUUUUAAAAUAAAACUGAAAAAAAAAGAAAAACGUUUCGAAAAGGGUACACAUCGAAGUCGUACUUUGGGAAUACGCCUCCACUUAAAACACGUGGUGGCGGGGCUGGGUCACUGACACUGGGUCCAGCGGCCCCACUGGUCAGGUUUGACUAGUCCCCCGCCUUCUCCCUCCUCUCUCCGAGCCGAGGCGGGGGCUCCGACGAUCGACGCCGGCGAACGGCGGCUCCUCGCGGGGCUCUGAGGGCGGGGAUGGAUCCGCCACUCCCGGGCGGUCCUCCCGGUGGUCGAGAGGGUGGCGGGAAUGAAGGGAGUCGCCGGCGGCGAGCCUUGCGGCGGACGGCAGCUUCGGGAGGUUUGGGGGUUUGGGUUAUGGUGCUUCCCGAUUGACGCUGAGAGGGUGGGUGGCUCUGCACGGUUGGGGGGAGAAGGAUGGAAGCACGGGAGGGGUUUGGGGGCCUCGGUCUUGGCCGGAUUUCACCGGAGUGUGGCGGCGGCCGAACCUGUCAGGGAUGAGGAAGAUGGCCGUCAUUCGCCGAUUGCUGGCUACGGGAGGGCUCUAGGGGGGUGGCUCGAGGCUGCCUGAGUGCUGGGACGAGCUCGGGGUCCCCUUUUAUAGUGCAACGAGGUUGGUUCCGCGGCGGCAGUGGAUCGGGACACCGGCGAACCGCCGUUCUGUAGCUAGGGGCGACGUGGAGGUGGUUGGAGCUGGUCGGCGCACUCCGACGAACUCCACACUGCUCAAGGGGCGAGCUGGCGCGCGUGUGUGGCUCGGGCGGCGCUAUCCAGGGCAUAGGUUGUCGGGGCGGCGGUGGCGGCCUGCGGUGGUGAUGUUGUGGUGCGCCAGGAGGGGGGGCCAGGGUGGCUCUGCGGCGAGGGAGGGGUCGGGACGCUGGCUGCGAGUGGAAGGGGCCAGAACGGGUGCGGGGGAGGCGGCAGCGGGACGCGGCGGCUCGGGCGCACGCACGUGCAAAACGCGCGCUCUGGCCGCGCCCAGAGCACGCACGCGACGUGCUCGACAAAAUGCCAGGGUGACCUAGAGUGCUUGAGCGAGGCUGGCAAAUAACCGGACUAGGUUAGAGUCUGCAAGAAAGUUAGUGGACAAACUGGUUUGUCCAGAGGUGCAAGGUCACAGUGCAAAGGCAAAAAUCAUGUCAAAACUGCCCAUGCACUUAAGGUGUUUGACAAAAUGCCAAUGGCAUCUAGGCAACUCUUGGGUGGCCAAAUAUUCCAGAUCAAAGUCUCUUUAGAUGUAGGAGAGGAUGGCAAGGUUAGUUGGCCAAAUCUAGAAACUUGUUAGUGUAAGUUUUGCAAAAGUCUAGUUCUGGACAGAAGGAAAAGGGUAUAAUAUCAUGUACCAAAAAUGCUCCAAUGAGUCCAACCUCCUGGACUUAAGGGUUUGGUAGGGUGGUCUAGAAUUAGGAGAAAGAAUCAAGGGAAAAAGAGCAAGCAAAAAUAUGGUUGCAAUACAAAUCACCAAGUUGAACCAGAAUGCAAAUGAGGAUGAUUCACUCAAUUUUCUCAAAGAGCAUCAAUGGGUUUUUGCAUAAAGAUGAAUAAUAUACUCCUAUUAACACCCCAUAAUUUUGGUGGAAGUUUUAAAGAAAUAUUUAAUUAGGUUGUAGUGCAAAAUUACCCACUGGACCAGAUUUGAAAAUUUGAUGUAGACCUCAAAAUAUCCAAAGAAUGAAAUAUAUUUUUGCAUAAAAGUGAUUUAAAAACAUCACAUGACAUCCCCAAAUUUUGGUGGGAUUUUUAAAUGAAUUUAUAAAAGGGUUGCAGUUCAAAUGGGACCCUAAAAUUUAUGAAAAACCCUUUUGGAGGAAUAAAGCUCAGGAAAAAUAAUUAUAUAAAUAAUCCUACUGAUAAAAGAAUUGUUUUAUUUGAGAGGGUAACUAAGUCUAAUAAUGUUUGAAACUUUUUCACUUGGGGUAAAAACCUCAUAAAAAUAAAGAAAAGAAUGGUUCUGAAAUCAACAGGAAAUCUAGAAAAUAAAAGUUUAAGUUUCCUGGCAAAAUUUUAAUAAAUAAAACAUGGUUAAAUUUUUGGGGUGUCACAACACUACCCCCCUUAAGAAAAAUCUCGUCCUCGAGAUUUGUUAAGAGUUGUUUUCGAAAAUAUCAUUCCUGUUAGUUGAAACCAAAAGGUUUACUCAUAGUACAAACCUUGUGUCGUCAAGGUUGGUUUUUGGCAGCUACGUCCGAGGUUAAAAAUGCAAUCGCACAUCGACAUACUCAUGCAUGGCUACUAUUUAAAAUAGGGCGCACAAGCAACAGUAUUUAAUUACGGCGAUACAGGGUCACACAGUUACAAGGCGAGGACAUGCUAAGACUUGGUACUACUCGAGCAACUCUAGUCUACCUCGUUAAUAUCUAAGCGGGCGUGCCUUGCGGACUUCGAGGCUUCGCCACGGUUUUCACCAUCGGGAUUAGCUGGAGGGGGUUGAGGGGCUGCAGGGUCGGGGUAGCGAUGAUGACCAUUCCGGGGAUUGUUGGCCACAAUCCCGUUGGAAUGUGUUCCCAAAAGGCGACGAAGCACUUCUGGGGCCAUCGAGGUAUUAUGGUCGAUGGCUGGGGCAGACCUCAAGGACUCGAUCGGUUGUCCGAACAGCACGACUGGGCUGUCGGUGUCGGGCUCCUCUUCUCCUCUUGCUGGGGCUCGGCGGGUCAGUUCUCCACGAGCUGCGAUCAGAUCAGGGGUGAUUUGAUCGAACAAUCCCUCUAGUACACAUAGCGUACCAGAUGCAAUAAUGCAGGAUCCGUCUCGUGGUCUCCGUUGGCAACUUGGGGUGGUCUACCAUAUCCGUCACGGCUGGGGUAGUAGUAGAACGAGCGGUAGUUGACUCUGGGCGACAAGUGUCGGAGUUGAACUAUAGCCUCUCGAGCAGCUAGUUGGAUGGCUUGUGGCUCAAAGGAAGUUGUCCUUCCGGUGAACCUGUAGGGGCGUUCUGGCGAUAGACCCCUACCGUAGACGUGCACAGUGGCCCAGAAUUGACGGCUCUCACAGCUCAUGGGUCCUUGGUACACAACAUAUUCUGGGGGCUCUUCUAUCGCGAAGGCACGGCGGGUGAGGUUUGCUAGCACGGUCACAAAACCUCCAAGGUUGGUUGCCGUGGUCUCAUUGUGAACAAUGGGUCCUGGCAUUUUAGCUUGGUUUGGGCAGAGGUUGUGCUGUGCUGGGUUUGGGCUAGCAUGCCCUUUAUUAAAAAAAAGGACGGAGUCUUCCUUCGCACGCUUGCGAAUGACAUAAUUUUGGUGUCGGUCACUGGCGCGUGAUCGACAGGCUAGGCUGAUAGGUUGGGCACUGACUGCCAAAAAGGUGACGGUCACUGUGUGGCUAUCUUACACGAGAAACUUGGCCGGGGUUAGGUUAAGGCCUGGUGGGUUGGUUUACCUAGGUUUUUUUUGACCUGUCUAAGAUAGGAUUAGCCAAUGGCCAGCCUGGCUCUGAUACCAAGUUUGUAAGGACCGGAUUUUUGGGAUAUUAGUUUCCAGAAAAUGGCCCUUAUGCUCACCAGCCCCAGGAUUACUGUUAGCUGAUGAGGCAACUACUUGAUACAGAAAUUCCAAGCAAAAUACAUAAUAAGUAGUACAAGACCAUUCUGGCCUAUGAGUACAACAAAUGGUUUCUAGUGGUUGACGGCGGAAGCGGUUUGUGGAUCAUCAGUGUCUAUGGGACUCCAAUUCCCACAGGAACAGCAGACCAGGUUAACUUAUCUUCGUGAGGCUGCUAUCACCGUUGCUUAGGUUCCCGGGCUGUCAUCACAACGCUCCUCUCCAAGCAAGAAAUCUGGCCAAGACAAUAGCCAGGGACAAGCCAGUGAGUACUUUUGAAUGUACUCGCAAACAUUAUGAACACGGGUAUGAUAUAACAACCAAUAAUCAUACUCUAAAAUAUUCUAUGCUCACAACGUCCGUCAUAAAAAUAAUAUCCCUGAUACAUGCAAGUAGGUUAUUUAUGUAAAACAUGAAUAUGCAAUCAGAGAGUAAAAAUAAAAUGCACCGAGCGGGUGUCUGAAGCGACGCCUCGAAAGGAUAAUAAUAUAAGGCAUGCCUCAGUCGGGCGUCUGCGCGACACCACAUACAGGGCUUAUGAAGUAAAUAAAUAAUGAGCAUGCCACAGUCGGGCGUCUGAGCGACACCACAUAAAGGGCUUAUAAGGUAAACAAUAAGAAUGCCACAGUCGGGCGUCUGAGCGACACCACAUAAAGGGCUUAUAAGGUAAACAAUAAGAAUGCCACAGUCGGGCGUUUGAGCGACACCACAUAAAGGGCUUAUAAGAAAACAAUCACAGUGAAUAUCCAAGAGGUAGACCCGUCCUAGGGAUACUCAAUAAUCCCAGUAAUAUGGUGGGUUAGUCCAUAAUAAUAAUAAUCACAAUCAUCAUAAUCAACACAAGUCACAGGUCAUGAUCCAUGUUCUGGUUUAGCAGUUUCUCCUCCGAAGACCGACACUAAGACCGACACUUGACCCAACCCAUACUGUAGUCCUUAACCAUGGACAUGGCUAUUCGAAUAGAUUUAACCUCUGCAGAGGGUGUACUCUUUACCCACGAGUAACGGAUUCCUUUAGUCCAUCGGGACUAAUACCGUCUACGGUCUUUUAAUUGAAAACACACCUGACUUGCACACACCAGCUUAACUUACCGUUGUCUCGAAUCACCCACGACAUCUGUCAAGCAAAAACUCUAAGUGUGGAGGCUACAACCUCGCAUAGCAUGGGAUCAAAUUUAUAUCGCGCGCUCUAAGGGGUGCCCCCCUCUCGGUCCCAACCGGAAACACCCAUGCCGCCGGACCAAGUGGCCUGCCUACCGGCUGUAGUCGGUAUCUUCCACCAUGGCCUCUCUGUACGGUGUGUGCUAGAAAGGGGUUGACAACUUACUGAACCGUACCCUACCUGCUGUAGGGACAAGUGGUAGUAUGAAACAAGUAUGGGGGUUACUGGAACAAGACUCGAUCUAUGGCCGACUCAGGAGGUUUAAGUAUUCCCUGCAUGAUUAGCUUAACGAAUAUAUUUCAUCCAACAGACAGGAUCACCACUCAUCAUACCCCAUCAUGCCAUACCGGACACACUCGUAUCGACGAGGAACUAGGGAUAAGCUCGGGUCUACCCAAGACAGAGACUUUCCCGUUUUCCUUCCGGUAGGCGCGAAUGGCAUACGAGGAUGAUCACUAUCACAAGCAUGUCCAUUUCCAACAGCAAGGAAAUCCCCAAUAUACAUUCAUGCAAAUGAUCGCGUCACCACAUAAAAUAACGAGUUCUCCGUAUUAAGGUGGUGUUAUAAUCAUGUCAACCAACACACAAAAAUAUUAUGCCGGGGUUCAGAAUGCUUACCUUCAAGGGUAUGCAAGUGGGGUGUGCCUUUUGAAAGUUGACUUCUUCUUCAAAUACCUAUUUUCAAAAAUAUUCAAAUUAACACAUACUUUAAAAACAGUACAAAAAAGUUACUUGGAAAAUUUUCAAAUAAAUAUGAAAAUAAACUAGACAAUAUUUGGGAAACAGCAUAAAAAGAAUCAAGUUAUUUGGAUUUAUAUCUAAAAAUUAUAGCCUGUCAAAGUUUAGUCAACUUUCUUUUUUUAAAAUAAAACUGAAAAAAAAGAAAAACGUUUCGAAAAGGGUACACGUCGAAGACGUACUUUGGGAAUACGCCUCCACUUAAAACACGUGGUGGUGGAGCUGGGUCACUGACACUGGGUCCAGCGGCCCCACUAGUCAGGUUUGACUAGUCCCCCGCCUUCUUCCUCCUCUGUCCGAGCCGAGGCGGGGGCUCCGGCUAUCGACGCCGGCGAACGGCGGCUCCUCGCGGGGCUCUAAGGGCGGGGAUGGAUCCGCCACUCCCGUGCGGUCCUCCCGGUGGUCGAGAGGGUGGCGGGGACGAAGGGAGUCGCCGGCGGCGAGCCUUGCGGCGGACGGCAGCUUCGGGAGGUUUGGGGGUUUGGGUUAUGGUGCUUCUCGAUCGACGCUGAGAGGGUGGGUGGCUCUGCACGGUUGGGGGGAGAAGGAUGGAAGCACAGGAGGGGUUUGGGGGCCUCGGUCUUGGCCGAAUUUCACCGGAGUGUGGCGGCGGCCGAACCUGUCGGGGACGAGGAAGAUGGCCGUCAUUCUCCGAUUGCUGGCUACGGGGGGGGGGCUCUAGGGGGGUGGCUCGAGGCUGCCUGAGUGCUGGGACGAGCUCGGGGUCCCCUUUUAUAGUGCAACGAGGUCGGUUCCGCGGCGGCAGUGGAUAGGGACGCAGCGAACCGCCAUUCUGUAGCUAGGGGCGACGUGGAGGUGGUUGGAGCUGGUCGGCGCACUCCGAUGAACUCCACACUGCUCAAGGGGCAAGCUGGCGCGCGUGUGUGGCUCGGGCGCCGCCGUCCAGGGCAGAGGUUGUCGGGGCGGCGCUGGCGGCAUGCGGUUGUGAUGCUGUGGUGCGCCAGGAGGGGGGCAGGGUGGCGCUGCGGCGAGGGAGGCGGGACGCUGGCUGCGAGUGGAAGGGGCCAGAACGGGUGCGGGGGAGGCGGCAGCGGGACGCGGUGGCUCGGGCGCAUGCACGUGCAAAACGCGCGCUCUAGCCGCGCCCAGAGCACGCACGCGACAUGCUCAACAAAAUGCCAGGGUGACCUAGAGUGCUUGAGCGAGGCUGGCAAAUAACCGGACUAGGUUAGAGUCUGCAAGAAAGUUAGUGGACAAACUGGUUUGUCCAGAGGUGCAAGGUCACAGUGCAAAGGCAAAAAUCAUGUCAAAACUGCCCAUGCACUCAAGGUGUUUGACAAAAUGCCAAUGGCAUCUAGGCAACUCUUGGGGUGGCCAAAUAUUCCAGAUCAAAGUCUAUUUAGAUGUAGGAGAGGAUGGCAAGGUUAGUUGGCCAAAUCUAGAACCUUGUUAGUGUAAGUUUUGCAAAACUCCAGUUCUGGACAGAAGGAAAAGGGUAUAAUAUCAUGUACCAAAAAUGCUCCAAUGAGUCCAACCUCCUGGACUUAAGGGUUUGGUAGGGUGGUCUAGAAUCAGGAGAAAGAAUCAAGGGAAAAAGAGCAAGCAAAAAUAUGGUUUCAAUAAAAAUCACCAAGUUGAACCAGAAUGCAAAUGAGGAUGAUUCACUCAAUUUUUUCAAAGAGCAUCAAUGGGUUUUUGCAUAAAGAUGAAUAAUAUACUCCUAUUAACACCCCAUAAUUUUGGUGGAAGUUUUAAAGAAAUAUUUAAUUAGGUUGUAGUGCAAAAUUGCCCACUUGACCAGAUUUGAAAAUUUGAUGUAGAGCUCAAAAUAUCCAAAGAAUGAUAUAUAUUUUUGCAUAAAAGUGAUUUAAAAACAUCACAUGACAUCCCCAAAUUUUGGUGGGAUUUUUAAAUGAAUUUAUAAAAGGGUUGCAGUUCAAAUGGAACCCUAAAACUUAUGAAAACCCCUUUUAGAGGAAUAAAGCUCAGGAAAAAUAAUUAUAUAAAUAAUCCUACUGAUAAAAGAAUUGUUUUAUUUGAGAGGGUAAAUAAGUCCAAUAAUGUUUGAAUUUUUUUCACUUGGGGUAAAAACCUCAUAAAAAUAAAGAAAAGAAUGGUUCUGAAAUCAAUAGGAAAUCCUGAAAAUAAAAGUUUAAGUUUCCUGGCAAAAUUUUAAUAAAUAAAACAUGGUUAAAUUUUUGGGGUGUCACAACACUACCCCCCUUAAGAAAAAUCUCGUCCUCAAGAUUUGUUAAGAGUUGUUUUCGAAAAUAUCAUUCCUGUUAGUUGAAACCAAAAGGUUUACUCAUAGUACAAACCUUGUGUCGUCAAGGUUGGUUUUUGGCAGCUACGUCCGUGGUUAAAAAUGCAAUCGCACAUCGACAUACUCAUGCAUGGCUACUAUUUAAAAUAGGGCGCACAAGCAACAGUAUUUAAUUACGGCGAUACAGGUUCACACAGUUACAAGGCGAGGACAUGCUAAGACUUGGUACUACUCGAGCAACUCUAGUCUACCUCGUUAAUAUCUAAGCGGGCGUGCCUUGCGGACUUCGAGGCUUCGCCACGGUUUUCACCAUCGGGAUUAGCUGGAGGGGGUUGAGGGGCUGCAGGGUCGGGGUAGCGAUGAUGACCAUUCCGGGGAUUGUUGGCCACAAUCCCGUUGGAAUGUGUUCCCAAAAGGCGACGAAGCACUUCUGGGGCCAUCGAGGUAUUAUGGUCGAUGGCUGGGGCAGACCUCAAGGACUCGAUCGGUUGUCCGAACAGCACGACUGGGCUGUCGGUGCCGGGCUCCUCUUUUCCUCUUGCUGGGGCUCGGCGGGUCAGUUCUCCACGAGCUGCGAUCAGAUCAAGGGUGAUUUGAUCGAACAGUCCCUCUAAUACACAUACCGUACCAGAUGCAAUAAUGCAGGAUCCAUCUCGUGGUCUCCGUUGGCAACUUGGGGUGGUCUACCAUAUCCGUCACGGCUGGGGUAGUAGUAGAACGAGCGGCAAUUGACUCUGGGCGACAAGUGCCGGAGUUGAACUAUAGCCUCUCGAGCAGCUAGUUGGAUGGCUUGUGGCUCAAAGGAAGUUGUCCUUCCGGUGAACCUGUAGGGGCAUUCUGGUGAUAGACCCCUACCGUAGACGUGCACAGUGGCCCAGAAUUGAUGGCUCUCACCGCUCAUGGGUCCUUGGUACACAACAUAUUCUGGGGGCUCUUCUAACGCGAAGGCACGGCGGGUGAGGUUUGCUAGCACGGUCACAAAACCUCCAAGGUUGGUUGCCGUGGUCUCAUUGUGAACAAUUGGUCCUGGCAUUUUAGCUUGGUUUGGGCAGAGGUUGUGAUGUGCUGGGUUGGGGCUAGCGUGCCCUUUUUAUAAAAAAAAGGACGGAGUCUUCCUUCGCACGCUUGCGAAUGAGAUAAUUUUGGUGUCGGUCACUGGCGCGUGAUCGACAGGCUAGGCUGAUAGGUUGGGCACCGACUGCCAAAAAGGUGUUGGUCACUGUGUGGCUAUCUUACACGAGAAGCUUGGCCGGGGUUAGGUUAAGGCCUGGUGGGUUGGUUUACCUAGGUUUUUUUUUGACCUGUCUAAGAUAGGAUUAGCCAAUGGUCAGUCUGGCUUUGAUACCAAGUUUGUCAGGACCGGAUUUUCGGGAUAUUAGUUUCCAGAAAAUUGCCCUUGUGCUCACCAGCCCCAGGAUUACUGUUAGCUGAUGAGGCAACAACUUGAUACAGAAAUUCCAAGCAAAAUACACAAUAUGUAGUACAAGACCUUUCUGGCCUAUGAGUACAACAAAUGGUUUCUAGUGGUUGAUGGCGGAAGCGGUUUGUGGAUCAUCAGCGCCUAUGGGACUCCAAUUCCCACAGGAACAGCUGACCUGAUUAACUCCUAUCUUCGUGAGGCUGCUAUCACCGUUGCUUAGGUUCCGGGGCUGUCAUCGCAACGCUCCUCACCAAGCAAGAAAUCUGGCCAAGACAAUAGCCAGGGACAAGCCAGUGAGUACUUUUGAAUGUACUCGCAAACAUUAUGAACACGGGUAUGAUAUAACAACCAGUAAUCAUACUCUAAAAUAUUCUAUGCUCACAACGUCCGUCAUAAAAAUAAUAUCCCUGAUACAUGCAAGCAGGUUAUUUAUGUAAAACAUGAAUAUUCAAUCAGAGAGUAAAAAUAAAAUGCACCGAGCGGGUGUCUGAAGCGACGCCUCGAAAGGAUAAUAAUAUAGGGCAUGCCUCAGCCGGGCGUCUGCGCGACACCACAUACAUGGCUUAUAAAGUAAAUAAAUAAUGAGCAUGCCACAGUCGGGCGUCUGAGCGACACCACAUAAAGGGCUUAUAAGGUAAACAAUAAGAAUGCCACAGUCGGGCGUCUGAGCGACACCACAUAAAGGGCUUAUAAGGUAAACAAUAAGAAUGCCGCAGUCGGGCGUCUGAGCGACACCACAUAAAGGUCUUAUAAGGUAAACAAUAAGAAUGCCACAGUCGGGCGUCUGAGCGACACCACAUAAAGGGCUUAUAAUAAAACAAUCACAGUGAAUAUCCAGGAGGUAGAACCGUCCCAGGGAUACUCAAUAAUCCCAGUAAUAUGGUGGGUUAGUCCAUAAUAAUAAUAAUCACAAUCAUCAUAAUCAACACAAGUCACAGGUCAUGAUCCAUGUUCUGGUUUAGCAGUUUCUCCUCAGAAGACCGACACUUGACCCAACCCAUACUGUAGUCCUUAACCAUGGACACGUCUAUUCGAAUAGAUUUAACCUCUGCAGAGGGUGUACUCUUUACCCACGAGUAACGGAUUCCUUUAGUCCAUCGGGACUAAUUCCGUCUACGGUCUUUUAAUUGAAAACACACCUGACUUGCACACACCAGCUUAACUUACCGGUGUCUGGAAUCACCCACGACACCUGUCAAGCAAAAACUCUAAGUGUGGAGGCUACAACCUCGCAUAGCAUGGGAUCAAAUUUAUAUCGCGCGCUCUAAGGGGUGCCCCCGCCCCCUCUCGGUCCGAACCGGAAACACCCAUGCCCCCGGACCAGGUGGCCUGCCUACCGGCUGCAGUCGGUAUCUUCCACCAUGACCUCUCUGUACAGGGACUUUCCCGUUUUCCUUUCGGUAGGCGCGAAGGGCAUACGAGGAUGAUCACUAUCACAAGCAUGUCCAUUUCCAACAGCAAGGAAAUCCCCAAUAUGCAUUCAUGCAAAUGAUCGCGUCACCACAUAAAAUAACGAGUUCUCCCUAUUAAGGUGGUGUUAUAAUCAUGUCAACCAACACACAAAAAUAUUACGCCAGGGUUCAGAAUGCUUACCUUCAAGGGUAUGCAAGUGGGGUGUACCUUUUGAAAGUUGUCUUCUUCUUCAAAAACCUAUUUUCGAAAAUAUUCAAAUUAACACAUACUUUAAAAACAGUACAAAAAGUUGCUUGGAAAAUUUUCGAAUAAAUAUGAAAAUAAACUAGACAAUAUUUGGGAAACAACAGAAAAAGAAUCAAGUCAUUUGGAUUUAUAUCUAAAAAGUUAUAGCCUGUCAAACUUUAGUCAACUUUUUGUUUUUAAAAUAAAACUGAAAAAAAAUGUUUCGAAAAGGGUACACGUCAAAGUCGUACUUUGGGAAUACGCCUCCACUUAAAACACGUGGUGGCGGGGCUGGGUCACUAACACUAGGUCCAGCGGCCCCACUGGUCAGGUUUGACUAGUCCCCCGCCUUCUUCCUCCUCUGUCCGAGCCGAGGCGGGGGCUCCGGCGAUCGACGCCGGCGAACGACGGCUCCUCGCGGGGCUCUGAGGGCGGGGAUGGAUCCGCCACUCCCGGGCGGUCCUCCCGAUGGUCGAGAGGGUGGCGGGGACGAAGGGAGUCGCCGGCGGCGAGCCUUGCGGCGGACGGCAGCUUCGGGAGGUUUGGGGGUUUGGGUUAUGGUGCUUCCCGAUCGACGCUGAGAGGGUGGGUGGCUCCGCACGGUUGGGGGAGAAGGAUGGAAGCACGGGAGGGGUUUGGGGGCCUCGGUCUUGGCCGGAUUUCACCGGAGUGUGGCGGCGGCCGAACCUGUCGGGGACGAGGAAGAUGGCCGUCAUUCACCGAUUGCUGGCUACGGGAGGGCUCUAGGGGGGUGGCUCGAGGCUGCCUGAGUGCUGGGACGAGCUCGGGGUCCCCUUUUAUAGUGCAACGAGGUUGGUUCCGCGGCGGCAGUGGAUCGGGACACCGGCGAACCGCCGUUCUGUAGCUAGGGGCGACGUGGAGGUGGUUGGAGCUGGUCGGCGCACUCCGACGAACUCCACACUGCUCAAGGGGCGAGCUGGCGCGCGUGUGUGGCUCGGGCGGCGCUAUCCAGGGCAGAGGUUGUCGGGGCGGCGGUGGCGGCCUGCGGUGGUGAUGUUGUGGUGCGCCAGGAGGGGGGGCCAGGGUGGCUCUGCGGCGAGGGAGGGGUCGGGACGCUGGCUGCGAGUGGAAGGGGCCAGAACGGGUGCGGGGGAGGCGGCAGCGGGACGCGGCGGCUCGGGCGCACGCACGUGCAAAACGCGCGCUCUGGCCGCGCCCAGAGCACGCACGCGACGUGCUCGACAAAAUGCCAGGGUGACCUAGAGUGCUUGAGCGAGGCUGGCAAAUAACCGGACUAGGUUAGAGUCUGCAAGAAAGUUAGUGGACAAACUGGUUUGUCCAGAGGUGCAAGGUCACAGUGCAAAGGCAAAAAUCAUGUCAAAACUGCCCAUGCACUCAAGGUGUUUGACAAAAUGCCAAUGGAAUCUAGGCAACUCUUGGGGUGGCCAAAUAUUCCAGAUCAAAGUCUCUUUAGAUGUAGGAGAGGAUGGCAAGGUUAGUUGGCCAAAUCUAGAAACUUGUUAGUGUAAGUUUUGCAAAAGUCUAGUUCUGGACAGAAGGAAAAGGGUAUAAUAUCAUGUACCAAAAAUUCUCCAAUGAGUCCAACCUCCUGGACUUAAGGGUUUGGUAGGGUGGUCUAGAAUCAGGAGAAAGAAUCAAGGGAAAAAGAGCAAGCAAAAAUAUGGUUGCAAUACAAAUCACCAAGUUGAACCAGAAUGCAAAUGAGGAUGAUUCACUCAAUUUUUUCAAAGAGCAUCAAUGGGUUUUUGCAUAAAGAUGAAUAGUAUACUCCUAUUAACACCCCAUAAUUUUGGCGGAAGUUUUAAAGAAAUAUUUAAUUAGGUUGUAGUGCAAAAUUGCCCACUGGACCAGAUUUGAAAUUUUGAUGUAGAGCUCAAAAUAUCCAAAGAAUGAAAUAUAUUUUUGCAUAAAAGUGAUUUAAAAACAUCACAUGACAUCCCCAAAUUUUGGUGGGAUUUUUAAAUGAAUUUAUAAAAGGGUUGCAGUUCAAAUGGGACCCUAAAACUUAUGAAAAAUCCUUUUAGAGGAAUAAAGCUCAGGAAAAAUAAUUAUAUAAAUAAUCCUACUGAUAAAAGAAUUGUUUUAUUUGAGAGGGUAAAUAAGUACAAUAAUGUUUGAAAAGUUUUCACUUGGGGUAAAAACCUCAUCAAAAUAAAGAAAAGAAUGGUCCUGAAAUCAAUAGGAAAUCCAGAAAAUAAAAGUUUAAGUUUCCUGGCAAAAUUUUAAUAAAUAAAACACGGUUAAAUUUUUGGGGUGUCACAGACAAUCUCUAUGGACUAAUGGUUGCUUUGAGUUAUAUUUGAAAGGUUAUCCAUAGGCAAUGCUUGAAGACCAUAUGUUGGUUUCAAGGUUGAAAGAAGAAUAUUAUUUGUUGACCAAGGUGUUAUUCAUGGAGUUAUCCAAAUAUUGGUCAUGUGAGAGUUGAGUAUAUUGCAAGCAUGUCUUGAAAAUAAGAUUAUUUGAACAUUCAUGUUGCCUUUAAUACAUCAUCUUUAUGAAGAGAGAAGAUAAGAUACAAGGUUGAUCAAGACUAAGUACAAAGAAUGGAUUCAAGUUGAUGAACACACAAAGCAUAGAAGAUGUACCGAGUCGAAUCAAGUGAUCUCACGAUAUGGUAAGCAUUGUCCAUUAUGCUUUGUGUAACCCAUGAUCUAUUUGUGUGGUGUUCCUAUGUGGGGCUAGUUUUUUUCCAUGGGCUUACAUCAAGAGGAAGAUAUCAGAUAACCCAUGGAGGAUGACAUCAUGUGGUGAUCGUCAUCAAUGUUGUGUUGUGCAAGUUCAAGUGGAGCAUCACAAAGAGAUCACAUGCUUGAAGCUUGCCAUCCAUUCUGGUGAUAAUGGAGUUGUGAAGAUGUGCCAAAGAGAGGCCAACCCAUAGUGGAGUAUGGGGGAGCAAUAUAUUGGUCUUCAUCGAGCUAGCGCAAUCAGAAAGGUGGUCCAACAUGAGGAGGACGAGAUCAUCAUCGUCUAGCUCAAGUGGACUAUGCGCAAGGCAAAGGUUUGACCUUAAUAGGUUUUCUGUUUUACCGAUCUGAUGGUGUUAGUUGGGAGACCGGGUUGAAGGAUUGAUUGACGUACUAUCAAGGGGGCUCUCGAGUGAGUAGCUUGAGCGUAUCAUUCAUAGAGAGCUCAAACCAUUGCAUCAUUGGCAUCAUCUUUCUUGGUUCUUGUUUGGCUUUUCCCUAUGUGAGUUUUGGAGCUUGUGGUCAUCUCCGUGGCAAGUUCAAGUUGAUCAAAAAUGGAUUUCAUAUGCAGCAUGUAUUGUGUUUUCGAUGUAGGAGUUUUUGCCAGUUCUUCACUCAUGUAUAUUUCACACCUCUAUUGUGAUUUGACAACUCUUGUAGUUACCUUUCUAUCAAGUUUCAAUUCAUCAAUAUCAAAGUGGUGGUACCGCUUGCUACUGGUGGUAGUACUGCUUAUGCAGUACUUUCGCUGGUUGGUGCCGUGGCUACCUCUGGUUGUGUUUAGUCUUCUGUAUGCCUCUGGCAAUUCGCGGUAGUGCCACUGCUUCCAACGGUAGUACCGCUUGAUGCGGUUCUUCCGCUCUGGCGCCGCUUGAACUACUGCUGGUUUGUCUGUUAGCCUAUUGACAAUUAGCGACAGUAUCGCUUGUUGUAGCCGGUGGGACCGCUCCGGCAGAACUAGGAUGCGAGUACCACUGUGGUACUCGAUGAGCCUUAGUGAAACUGCCGCUCUUAGCAGUAGUACCGCUUGAGCAUGACCAGUGCAUAAUGGUCUUAUUCUUGCCCCCACUAUAAAAGGGGGUCUUCUUCACCAUUGCUCCUAGCAACUUUGAGCAAGCUUUCUCCUCCAUUAUUGACCUCUAAAAGCUUUGCUUUAUCUCUAUCCCUCCCAUGGUUCUUGCAUCAUUUUGAGGGGAAAGAGAUAGGAUAUCUAGAUUCUAUAUCUACAUUUCCACCAAUCCAUCUUACGUCUAAGUGAGGGGAACCCUUUGGAUCUAAAUCUUCGAGUUCUUUUGUGUUCUCCUUGUUCUUCCUCACAUAUUCCACCAUAGCUUUCGUUAAUUUGUGGGAUUUGAGAGAUGUGGGACUUGAGCACUUAGUGUGUUCUUGCCAUUACAUUAGUUGCAUCGGUUUGAGUUCUCCAUGAUGAUACAUGGAAGUGAAAGUCGAGAAGCUUACUAGUACCUUUUGGGUAUUUGGGUGUCCUAGAUGAUUGGUGGUGUCUCAAAGCUCAAUCAUUGUUGUGUAAAGCUUCGAGAAAGCUUUGGGGUCUCUAAUACGUCCAUUUUAUAUCAUGUUUUCCUACUACUAUUUCUAAUGCUUUAUAGCUAUAUUUCACCUUUGAUGCAAUUCCAAUGCCUUUUCUCUCUUAAUUGCCAGUUAUAUCACAAGAGGAAGAUUGCCGACAGCUGGAAUUCUGGACCUGAAAAGUGCUACAACAGAGAUAGCUAUUCUCUUGAGCUCCAAAUGACCUAAAUUUUUCCAAAGAUUUGUUUUGAAAUAUAUAAAAAAUACUAGAAGCAAAAUGCACUGAAGGGGACGCACUAGGGAGCUACAAGCUCGGGGGCGCGCCCACCCCCUGGGGUGCACCUGGUGAGCUUAUGAGUCCCACAGAAGGUCUAUGUGGCCCAUCGUCUCCUAUAUGAAGCCAUUUUCCCUAUAAAAAUAAUCAAGAGAAGACUUUUGGAACGAAGCGCCACCGUCUCGAGGCGGAACCUGGGCAGGAGCAAUUUUGCUCUGUGGCAAAGCGAUUCCACCGGGGAAACUUCCCUCUGGGAGGGGGAAAUCAAAGCCAUCAUCAUCAUCAACGUUCCUUUCAUCAUGGGAGGACUCAUCUCCGUCAACAUCUUCACUAGCACCAUCUCACUUCAAACCCUAGUUCAUCUCUUGUAUUCAAUCUUUGUCUCAAACCUCAGAGUGGUACAUGUGGGUUGCUAGUAGUGUUGAUUACAUCUUGUAGUUGAUUUACUUGGUGGAAGAUCAUAUCUUUAGAUUUUUAAUCAUAUAUUAUUCUCCUCUUAUCAUGAACAUGAAUAUGAUGUGUGAGUAGUUUCUUUUAUUCUUGAGGAAACAGGAGAAGUCUUGUUGUAAGUAAUCAUGUGAAGUUGGUUUUCAUUCAAUAUUUUGAUGAUGUGCUAUGUUGUUCUUCCUCUAGUGGUGUCAUGUGAAUGUCGACUACAUGUCACAUUAUCAUGUUUGAGCCUAGGGGAAGGCAUUGUGGGAUUAGUCAGUAGAUGAUGGGUUGCUAGAGUGAUAGAAGCUUAAAUCCUAGUUUAUGCGCUAUUUCGUAAGGGGCUGAUUUGGAUCCAUAUGUUUCAUGCUAUGGUUGGAUUUAUCUUAAUUCUUCUUUCGUAGUUGUGGAUGCUUGCGAGAGGGGAUAAGCAUAUCUAGAUUAAGGAUAUGGAUGUACUCAUAUAGAAAUUUAAUGGUAUUAAUUUUAUAAUUUGUUUGGACGUGUGUUAGUGGUUCUAAAAAGGAUGUGAAUACACACAUAUAGCAAAAAUAUAUACAUUAGCGGUUCCAAAGAAUUACGUUAAGGUACUCAUAUAUGAAUAUAUGGCUAGCAGUCCAUACCGUAUGAAACUAGUAUGCUUAAAGAUUAUCUAUGUCAACUCUUACUAAACAUUACAAGGUCCAAUUCUAGUCAAACAGCAAUGCUUCUAUAUCAAUUGCUAAUAAAUUUGGAUGUAUGGAUAAGGAUGAACUUUAACUAUCAUCCAUGUAUUCCAAAAAGUAUAAUUGACACCAAUGUUUCUUGUACACGAUUCUACAAAUCUCUCUAGCAAGUGGUCCCAACAUGCCAAUACAAACAUGAAACCUAGACAAUUUUUAGGGUCCUUGGGGUGAUACUUCUAUAUAAGGGGGGCACAUCUCCGCAUAUCUCCCACUAACAUGUCGUUAGCCAAUGGUUUUGGUAAAUCUCUAGCAUUUCGUAGAUUCUUGUUGCUCUUGUUUAUAGUAGUAAGUUUCAUUUUCUUCAUAGGAUUUAGUAUGCCAAGGAGGGAGAGGCGGUCAGGUGUCGCAUACAUCCAUGAUGACAAAGAGCGUGAUGGCUCCUUCUUCAAGAGGCGCAGUGGUUUGUUCAAGAGCGCUGCUAACCUCAAUGCCCUCACCGGUGCUAGGGUUGCUAUCAUCCUAGAGGGGAGCAAUGUUGUUAUGCUCUUUCAGACAAACCAUCCUACAAUGGAUUUCUUGGGAUGGAUGCUUAAUUGGGUAAUGAUGGUACUAAGUAGACAUUCUUCUAUAGGAAAUGGUGAAUGUGUUUAUGCGCAAUAGGAAUCUUCUUCCAGCGAGCAAGAUGUUGAUGCUUGGGUGCAAUCUGAAGGACUUAGUUAGAAGCUAGUUAGACUUACAUUUUAGUUUUAUAUCAGAAUGAAAGCUAGUUACAUUACCACCUGGAAAAUGUUACCAUUUGGACAUUUUACUAAGCCCCUUCCAGGCAAUAAUAUACAUGUUCAGUGUUGUAGGUCUUGGAACAUGGAAGUUUUUUUUCUAUGUGCCGCUUCAUAUUUUCAUUAUAAUCAAAUAUUUUAUUUUCUUUGUGAGAUGUUAUGUAUCUUAUGGGUGAAGGAAGAGGAAACCUUGAUUUAUAAUACCACCCCUCUUAGCAUAUUCUGAUCCAACCAUUAGUAAUUAACAGAAAAUGGGAGCUAUGCGGAGUAAGUAACUAAAAGGUAGCACAAGUUCAUAUUUCCACUCAAGCGACAAGCAUCAAUUGCUUUAAUUGCAUAAGUGUAUGAAAAAUAAGAACAACUCAAUAUGAGAUUCAUUUGAAAUCACGGUAAAUCAAUGUUUUAUUAAUAGAUGCCAAUGCUUUAUUGUCAUUAAAUUAAAACCAUAGUAUACCUGCGAGGACAUGGCGGCCACCUAAUUCUCCAUUUCAGUUUCAGUAGCAGGAAACAACAAAUUUAUGAAAUGAAUCUACUUUUGUUGCCUUCGUUGGUUUUUAUCCUUGAAUAAAAAGUGAUUUUUUUGUAAUGAUAUUGCUCAUCUAAUUAAUAAAUUAGACCAUCGGCCGAUUGCAUUAUGCAAUUGUUCUAAUCUUCUCACCGUUGAAAGAGCAUGGUGCCCCAAUGUUUGGUUUUUGUAAUUGAUGACAAUCUCUAUGGAUUAAUGGUUGCUUUGAGUUAUAUUUGAAAGGUUAUCCAUAGGCAAUGCUUGAAUACCAUAUGUUGGUUUCAAGGUUGAAAGAAGAAUAUUAUUUGUUGACCAAGGUGUUAUUCAUGGAGUUAUCCAAAGAUUGGUCCUGUAAGAGUUGAGUCUAUUGCAAGCAUGUCCUGAAAAAGAAGAUUAUGUGAACAUUCAUGUAGCCUUCAAUACAUCAUCUUUAUGAAGAGAGAGGAUAAGAUACAAGGUUGAUCAAGACUAAGUACAAAGAAUGGAUUCAAGUUGAUGAACACACAAAGCAUAGAAGAUGUACCGAGUCAAAUCAAGUGAUCUCACGGUAUGGUAAGCAUUGUCCAUUAUGCUUUGUGUAACACAUGAUCUAUUUGUGUGGUGUUCCUAUGUGGGGCUACUUUUUUUCCAUGGGCUUACAUCAAGAGGAAGAUAUCAGAUAACCCAUGGAGGAUGACAUCAUGUGGUGAUCGUCAUCAAUGUUAUGUUGAGCAAGUUCAAGUGGAGCAUCACAAAGAGAUCACAUGCUUGAAGCUUGCCAUCCAUUCUAGUGAUAAUGGACUUGUGAAGAUGUGCCAAAGAGAGGCUCACCCAUAGUGGAGUAUGGGGGAGCAAUAUAUUAGUCUUCAUCGAGCUAGCGCAAUCAGAAAGGUGGUCCAACGUGAGGAGGACGAGAUCAUCAUCAUCUAGCUCAAGUGGACUAUGUGCAAGGCAAAGGUUUGACCUUAAUAGGUUUUCUGUUUUACCGAUCUGAUGGUGUUAGUUGGGAGACCGGGUUGAAGGAUUGAUUCACGUACUAUCAAGGGGGCUCUCGAGUGAGUAGCUUGAUCGUAUCAUUCAUAGAGAGCUCAAACCAUUGCAUCAUCGGCAUCAUCUUUCUUGGUUCUUGUUUGGCUUUUCUCUAUGUGAGUUUUGGAGCUUGUGGUCAUCUCCAUGACAAGUUCAAGUUCAUCAAAAAUGGAUUUCAUAUGCAGCAUCUAUUGUGUUUUCGAUGUAGGAGUUUUUGCCAGUUCUUCACUCAUGUAUAUUUCACACCUAUCAAGUUUCAAUUCAUCAAAAUCAAAGUUCAUUUGCCGAAGGUAUGCCUGUUUUGGUCUUAAUUACUUGCAUUCAACUGUUGUGCUUUGGUAUUUUGGUAGAGGGCAAGCGUUCUGCUUGGGCUGAGCCUUCUGUUGCCCCUCAACAUUUCGCGGUAGUACCGCUUGCUACUGGUGGUAGUACUGCUUAUGCAGUACUUCCGCUGGUUGGUGUCGUGGCUACCUCUGGUUGUGUUUAGUCUUCUGUAUGCCUCUGGCAAUUUGCGGUAGUACCGCUGCUUCCAACGGUAGUACCGCUUGAUGUGGUUCUUCCGCUCUAGUGCCGCUUGAACUACUGCUAGUUUGUCUGUUAGCCUAUUGACAAUUAGUGGCAGUACCGCUUGCUGUAGCCGGUGGGACCGCUCCGGCAGAACUAGAAUGCGAGUACCACUAUGGUACUCGAUGAGCCUCAGUGAAACUGCCGCUCUUAGCGGUAGUACCGCUUGAGCAUGACCAGUGCAUAAUGGUUGUAUUCUUGCCCCCACUAUAAAAGGGGGUCUUCUUCACCAUUGCUACUAGCAACUUUGAGCAAGCUUUCUCCUCCAUUAUUGACCUCCAAAAUCUUUGCUUUACCUCUAUCCCUCCCAUGGUUCUUGCAUCAUUUUGAGGGGAAAGAGAGAGGAUAUCUAGAUUCUAUAUCUUCAUUUCCACUAAUCCAUCUUACGUCUAAGUGAGGGCAACCCUUUGGAUCUAAAUCUUCGAGUUCUUUUGUGUUCUCCUUGUUCUUCCUCACAUAUUCCUCCAUAGCUUUCGUUACUUUGUGGGAUUUGAGAGAUGUGGGACUUGAGCACUUAGUGUGUUCUUGCCAUUACAUUAGUUGCAUCGGUUCGAGUUCUCCAUGAUGAUACAUGGAAGUGAAAGUCGAGAAGCUUACUAGUACCUUUUGGGUAUUUGGGUGUCCUAGAUGAUUGGUGGUGUCACAAAGCUCAAUCAUUGUUGUGUAAAGCUUCGGGAAAGCUUUGGGGUCUCUAAUACGUCCAUUUUAUAUCAUGUUUUCCUACUACUAUUUCUAAUGGUUUAGAGCUAUAUUUCACCUUUGAUGCAAUUCCAAUGCCUUUUCUCUCUUAAUUGCCAGUUAUAUCACAAGAGGAAGAUUGCCGACAGCUGGAAUUCUGGACCUGAAAAGUGCUACAACAGAGAUAGCUAUUCUCUUGAGCUCCAAAUGACCUAAAUUUUUCCAAAGAUUUGUUUUGAAAUAUAUAAAAAAUACUAGAAGCAAAAUGCACUGGAGGGGACGCACUAGGGAGCUACAAGCUCGGGGGCGCGCCCACCCCCUGGGGCGCACCUGGUGAGCUUAUGGGUCCCACAGAAGGCCUAUGUGGCCCAUCGUCUCCUAUAUGAAGCCAUUUUCCCUAUAAAAAUAAUCAAGAGAAGACUUAGCGCCACCGUCUCGAGGCGGAACCUGGGCAGGAGCACUUUUGCUCUCUGGCAGAGCGAUUCCACCAGGGAAACUUCCCUCUGGGAGGGGGAAAUCAAAGCCAUCAUCAUCAUCAACAAUGUUCCUUUCAUCAUGGGAGGACUCAUCUCCGUCAACAUCUUCACUAGCACCAUCUCACUUCAAACCCUAGUUCAUCUCUUGUAUUCAAUCUUUGUCUCAAACCUCAGAGUGGUACAUGUGGGUUGCUAGUAGUGUUGAUUACAUCUUGUAGUUGAUUUACUUGGUGGAAGAUCAUAUCUUUAGAUUUUUAAUCAUAUAAUUCUCCUCUUAUCAUGAACAUGAAUAUGAUGUGUGAGUAGUUUCUUUUAUUCUUGAGGAAACAGGAGAAGUCUUGUUAUAAGUAAUCAUGUGAAGUUGGUUUUCAUUCAAUAUUUUGAUGAUGUGCUAUGUUGUUCUUCCUCUAGUGGUGUCAUGUGAAUGUCGACUACAUGUCACAUUAUCAUGUUUGAGCCUAGGGGAAGGCAUUGUGGGAUUAGUCAGUAGAUGAUGGGUUGCUAGAGUGAUAGAAGCUUAAAUCCUAGUUUAUGCGCUAUGUCGUAAGGAGCUGAUUUGGAUCCAUAUGUUUCAUGCUAUGGUUGGAUUUAUCUUAAUUCUUCUUUCGUAGUUGUGGAUGCUUGCGAGAGGGGAUAAGCAUAUCUAGAUUAAGGAUAUGGAUGUACUCAGAUAGAAAUUUAAUGGUAUUAAUUUUAUAAUUUGUUUGGACGUGUGUUAGUGGUUCUAAAAAGGAUGUGAAUACACACAUAUAGCAAAAAUAUAUACAUUAGUGGUUCCAAAGAAUUACGUUAAGGUACUCAUAUAUGAAUAUAUGGCUAGCAGUCAAUACCGUAUGAAACUAGUAUUCUUAAAGAUUAUCUAUGUCAACUCUUACAAAAGAUUACAAGGUCCAAUUCUAGUCAAACAGCAAUGCUUCUAUAUCAAUUGCUAAUAAAUUUGGAUGUAUGGAUAAGGAUGAACUUUAACUAUCGUCCAUGUAUUGCAAAAAGUAUAAUUGACACCAAUGUUUCUUGUACACGAUUCUACAAAUCUCUCUAGCAAGUUGUCCCAACAUGCCGAUACAAACAUGAAACCUAGACAAUUUUUAGGGUCCUUGGGGUGAUACUUCUAUAUAAGGGGGGCACAUCUCCGCAUAUCUCCCACUAACAUGUCGUUAGCCAAUGGUUUUGGUAAAUCUCUAGCAUUUCGUAGAUUCUUGUUGCUCUUGUUUAUAGUAGUAAGUUUCAUUUUCUUCAUAGGAUUUAGUAUGCCAAGGAGGGAGAGGCGGUCAGGUGUCGCAUACAUCCAUGAUGACAAAGAGCGUGAUGGCUCCUUCUUCAAGAGGCGCAGUGGUUUGUUCAAGAGCGCUGCUAACCUCAAUGCCCUCACCGGUGCUAGGGUUGCUAUCAUCCUAGAGGCGAGCAAUGGUGUUAUGCUAUUUCAGACAAACCAUCCUACAAUAGAUUUCUUGGGAUGGAUGCUUAAUUGGGUUAUGAUGGUACUAAGUAGACAUUCUUCUAUAGGAAAUGGUGAAUGUGUUUAUGCGCAAUAGGAAUCUUCUUCCAGCGAGCAAGAUGUUGAUGCUUGGG